AUUUUAUAGAAGUUCAAAUCUUUACUCUUUUUCUUGUUUAUUUUGCAGGAGUCAUCUACAAUACUGGCAGUACCCUUGGGGCAGAAAAUUCAACUCAAUCUCUUGCAAAUUAUUUUGAUGCUUCAUAUGGGAAGAAUGCCAUGUCACCAGACAACUUACUGAAGGUAUUCUUUGUCAUCACUUAUUAUUAUCUAUGUUUCCUCGUGACUUGAAUUAGAUUGAAUUUUGGUUAUAUCAACUUGUUGAAUUCUUUUAGGAAUAUUAUUUGCAUUAAUAGGAUCUGCCAUUGGCCAAACUAUGAAAUCAUCUACCACAAGCAACAAUCAGUCCAUGGAUGAUGAGAAUCCCAUAAUACUAGUGAUAGACUAUUGUGUAUGCGGUUCAUAUAGAGUGAAACAUAGGUUUAUUGGAUCAAAUAGUCCAAUGCCGGAGCGGAGUGAAGCAGCCUAGUGAUAUAAUGCUUCAACCUGGAAGAUGGAGCCACGUGCUCCUUCAUCCAACAGUCAUCAUUUCGACUAUACCAACUCUUGUAGACAGUUGAAUCUAAUGUAACUCUUUACAUACAAAAAGUUACUCUUUAUCUUCUCUUUGGC
Molecule: long non-coding RNA, 593 nt
Filed under: Olea europaea subsp. europaea
Lineage: Eukaryota; Viridiplantae; Streptophyta; Magnoliopsida; Lamiales; Oleaceae
Source: RNAcentral